This 774-nucleotide ribosomal RNA is filed under the name uncultured Neocallimastigales. RNAcentral describes it as "partial large subunit ribosomal RNA". It matches the Rfam family "Eukaryotic large subunit ribosomal RNA", at positions 24 to 616 of the family's 3401-position model. Lineage: Eukaryota; Fungi; Neocallimastigomycota; Neocallimastigomycetes; Neocallimastigales. The record is from RNAcentral.
UAUGUGAUCGUCUCUCGCAUAUCAAUAAGCGGAGGAAAAGAAACUAACAAGGAUUCCCCUAGUAACGGCGAGUGAAGCGGGAAGAGCUCAAAUUUGAAAUCUUAAAGGGUUUCCCUUUACGAAUUGUAGUUUAAAGAAGUGUUUUCUGUUGAGGUUUUGGUAAAAGUUCUUUGGAAUAGGACAUCAUAGAGGGUGAGAAUCCCGUAUUCGACCUUUACUUUCAACUUUGUGAUACACUUUCAAAGAGUCGGAUUGUUUGGGAAUGCAGUCCAAAAUGGGUGGUAAAUUUCAUCUAAAGCUAAAUAUUGGCGAGAGACCGAUAGCGAGCAAGUACCGUGAGGGAAAGAUGAAAAGAACUUUGAAAAGAGAGUUAAACAGUACGUGAAAUUGUCAAAAGGGAAGCGUUUGACACCAGUGUUGUUUUUCUGAAAAUCAAUUAAAGAACUGUUUAUGCUAAGUUGUUUAGACUUUAUCAGCUAACUGUUUAGUUUUGAGCUUUUCUUUAAUGCACUUUUCAGUUAACAAGUCAACAUCAAUUUCUUUUGCUGUAAAAAAGCUUGAGGAAGGUGGCUUGAGAUUCGUCUUAAGUGUUUAUAGCCUCUUGCCUAUGCAGUCGGAGAGAUUGAGGUCUGCAGCGUAGAUCCUUCGGGGCUAAAUGCAUUUGUGCUAAGUUAUAGCAUUUUAUAGACAACUUGUUGACUAUGAUUUGUCUUGUAGCUUACUCGCUUAUGUUAUUUUACCUACGCUUAGGAUGUUGAGCGCAUGUCUCUCUCU